UACGGAGGGUGCGAGCGUUAAUCGGAAUUACUGGGCGUAAAGCGCGCGUAGGCGGCGUGAUAAGCCGGUUGUGAAAGCCCCGGGCUCAACCGGGGAACGGCAUCCGGAACUGUCAGGCUAGAGUGCAGGAGAGGAAGGUAGAAUUCCCGGUGUAGCGGUGAAAUGCGUCGAGAUCGGGAGGAAUACCAGUGGCGAAGGCUGCCUUCGGGACUGGCACUGACGCGGAGGUGCGAAAGCGUGGGUAGCAAACAGG
Molecule: unclassified non-coding RNA, 253 nt
Filed under: uncultured Halomonadaceae bacterium
Lineage: Bacteria; Pseudomonadati; Pseudomonadota; Gammaproteobacteria; Oceanospirillales; Halomonadaceae
Description: contains 16S-23S intergenic spacer region
Rfam family: Bacterial small subunit ribosomal RNA
Source: RNAcentral